This 465-nucleotide ribosomal RNA is filed under the name uncultured bacterium. RNAcentral's name for it is "partial 16S ribosomal RNA". It matches the Rfam family "Bacterial small subunit ribosomal RNA", at positions 28 to 507 of the family's 1533-position model. The record is from RNAcentral.
GACGAACGCUGGCGGCGUGCUUAACACAUGCAAGUCGAACGGAAAGGCCCUGCUUGCAGGGUACUCGAGUGGCGAACGGGUGAGUAACACGUGGGUGAUCUGCCCUGCACUUCGGGAUAAGCCUGGGAAACUGGGUCUAAUACCGGAUAGGAGCCAUUUUUAGUGUGAUGGUUGGAAAGUUUUUUCGGUGUAGGAUGAGCUCGCGGCCUAUCAGCUUGUUGGUGGGGUAAUGGCCUACCAAGGCGGCGACGGGUAGCCGGCCUGAGAGGGUGGACGGCCACAUUGGGACUGAGAGACGGCCCAGACUCCUACGGGAGGCAGCAGUGGGGAAUAUUGCACAAUGGGCGCCAGCCUGAUGCAGCGACGCCGCGUGGUGGAUGACGGCCUUCGGGUUGUAGACUCCUUUCGCUAGGGACGAAGCUUUUUGUGACGGUACCUAGAUAAGAAGCACCGGCUAACUACGUG